CACACACACACACAAGGCAUCUCGGGCCAAAAACUCGGCGGGCUCAGCAGGCUCCGCCCCCUUCACCUCCGUCCCGCACUUGGCUCCGCCCACGCUGGUCCAGGGCCCCGGCCUCUGGCGUCACAGUGGGGGUGGGGCUCGGUCUCCGUAGUGAGCAGUCUGUGCGGUCACUUCCGGCGUGGCUGGGUUGCUAGGUAACGCCGGCGGGCAGCAGGCGAGCGGCCCCGGCCCAAGUAUCCACCGCGCGGCCGCGCAAGCCACCGCCGGGCCGAGACAGGACGAGCCGAGACGAGCGCCUCCCCUGCGGGCACACGAGCGAGGGGCCGCGCGCGAGUCCCACGGGCGGUGCUGCGUCGCGCCGGGAGAGCCCGCCCCGAGCCAUGUCCCGGCCCGCGGCGGCCCAGCGCAGCGCCUUCCAGGAUGAGCUACAAGAAGCAGUUUUUGCUCGUGCAGCAAGACAGCAAACAGCUUACUACUCAGAUGACUUUGACACCGAUGAAGAUGGUACCGUGGAAGAACUUCCUGAAAGUAUAUCAGCUGUUGAAAAU
Molecule: long non-coding RNA, 548 nt
Filed under: Crocodylus porosus (Australian saltwater crocodile)
Lineage: Eukaryota; Metazoa; Chordata; Crocodylia; Crocodylidae
Description: lncRNA (ENSCPRG00005009279.1)
Source: RNAcentral